RNAcentral lists this ribosomal RNA (590 nucleotides) under uncultured bacterium. RNAcentral describes it as "bacterial SSU rRNA". It matches the Rfam family "Bacterial small subunit ribosomal RNA", at positions 63 to 649 of the family's 1533-position model. The record is from RNAcentral.
CGAACGAAGCGCUUUUCCGGAACUCUUCGGAGGGAAAGGGAAGUGACUGAGUGGCGGACGGGUGAGUAACGCGUGGGCAACCUGCCCCAUACAGGGGGAUAACAGCCGGAAACGGCUGCUAAUACCGCAUAAGCGCACGGGACCGCAUGGUUCUGUGUGAAAAACAAUAGUGGUAUGGGAGGGGCCCGCGUCUGAUUAGCCAGUUGGCGGGGUAGAGGCCCACCAAAGCGACGAUCAGUAGCCGGCCUGAGAGGGCGGACGGCCACAUUGGGACUGAGACACGGCCCAAACUCCUACGGGAGGCAGCAGUGGGGGAUAUUGCACAAUGGGGGAAACCCUGAUGCAGCGACGCCGCGUGGACGAAGAAGUAUUUCGGUAUGUAAAGUCCUAUCAGCAGGGAAGAAGAAAUGACGGUACCUGACUAAGAAGCCCCGGCUAACUACGUGCCAGCAGCCGCGGUAAAUACGUAGGGGGCAAGCGUUAUCCGGAUUUACUGGGGUGUAAAGGGAGCGCAGGCGGCAGCGCAAGUCUGAUGUGAAAGCCCGGGGCCCAACCGCGGGACUGCAUUGGAAACUGCGCAGCUGGAGUGC